AUGGAGCACCGACAAGGUAGGGAUGACCAUGAAGGGGUGCAGGUUGUUGGAUUUGAAGUCCCAUCAUCACCAGACUCAAGCUACAGCUACCCUAUCCCUGGAAACAAAGACGAAGCUCGAGAGCCCCCAUUGGUUUCUCCUCACCUGCAGCAUAUACUGCUGAGCUUCCCACCAAGCCAUGACGAUGGGAGAAGCCUCCCUCUGCCCUCACCUACUCUAUAUUGCAGCUUGCAGCAUCCGAUGAGAAACCAAGGUAGUUCCUCGGCCUGGCAGAUAACUCUCUAG
RNAcentral lists this ribosomal RNA (285 nucleotides) under Triticum aestivum (bread wheat). Its description in RNAcentral is "partial small subunit ribosomal RNA". Lineage: Eukaryota; Viridiplantae; Streptophyta; Magnoliopsida; Poales; Poaceae. The record is from RNAcentral.